RNAcentral lists this long non-coding RNA (224 nucleotides) under Setaria italica (foxtail millet). RNAcentral's name for it is "long non-coding RNA (SITA_LNC001453)". Lineage: Eukaryota; Viridiplantae; Streptophyta; Magnoliopsida; Poales; Poaceae. The record is from RNAcentral.
CCGCAACUGCAGCCUCAAGAAACGCGGGGAGGGGAUAAGGUAAACCACCAGCAUCAACAACCGACUGAGUGUAAUGCGCAACAGCAGCACGAAGCGGUACCAAGCCCCUACGGAUGGCUGCAAAAAAUAAAGCCAGAGAGCUUGCGUGAUGAACUCACUUCGACCACUAGGGUGGAGCUCUCGUAAGAUCAGACGGAUGGAGGUGAGAGCUUGCUCGAUAGAUU